AGUAAUCACUGCUCUUUGUGAUCUUCAAUGCCGUUCUUCACUCAAAAACCUCAAAGCGCAAAGAAUUUUUCUGAGGCAGAAAGCCACGCACAGUGGAGCUGUUUGUGCAUUGAGGGCAAUCUCCUUUGGCUUUUUUGA
This 138-nucleotide long non-coding RNA is filed under the name Cyanistes caeruleus (blue tit). Its description in RNAcentral is "lncRNA (ENSCCEG00000014267.1)". Lineage: Eukaryota; Metazoa; Chordata; Aves; Passeriformes; Paridae. The record is from RNAcentral.